AACCUGUCUUAUGUGCCAGCACGUGAUGGUGGGGACGUCGUAAGAGACUGCCGGGGUCAACUCGGAGGAAGGUGGGGACGGACGUCAAGUCAUCAUGCCCCUUAUGUCCAGGGCUUCACACAUGCUACAAUGGCCAGUACAGAGGGCUGCGAGACCGUGAGGUGGAGCGAAUCCCUUAAAGCUGGUCUCAGUUCGGAUCGGGGUCUGCAACUCGACCCCGUGAAGUCGGAGUCGCUAGUAAUCGCAGAUCAGCCAAGCUGCGGUGAAUACGUUCCCGGGCCUU
Molecule: ribosomal RNA, 283 nt
Filed under: uncultured Rhodococcus sp.
Lineage: Bacteria; Bacillati; Actinomycetota; Actinomycetes; Mycobacteriales; Nocardiaceae
Description: partial 16S ribosomal RNA
Rfam family: Bacterial small subunit ribosomal RNA
Source: RNAcentral